Molecule: long non-coding RNA, 296 nt
Organism: Stomoxys calcitrans (stable fly)
Lineage: Eukaryota; Metazoa; Arthropoda; Insecta; Diptera; Muscidae
Exons: 2
Source: RefSeq, a predicted model, not a curated record
UUGAACGAUACGAAACUCAACCCAAGGCACAAUAAAAUGGAAAAUUUAACUUCGUAAGGAAAGGCAGAUAAUCCAGCAAUUGCGGCGGGGUACAGAACUUAUAAGGAAUCACAUCGUCAAUUCAACGCAAUGCACACCCUGAAGCCUUCUUAUACGUAGAUAGAAAUGGCUAAUUCAAGAUACGAAUGGUAUCCCUACUUUGUAUCACCUAUAAAGACGUUCCAAUACUAAAUGUAUUAAUAGAAAUUUAAUCGCAUUGAAUAAAAUUCGAUUCGACACUACCGGGACCACAUAAA